AUUGAACGCUGGCGGAAUGCUUUACACAUGCAAGUCGAACGGUAGAGGGGGCAACCCCUCGAGAGUGGCGAACGGGUGAGUAAUAUAUCGGAACGUGCCCAGUCGUGGGGGAUAACGUAGCGAAAGUUACGCUAAUACCGCAUACGAACUAAGGAUGAAAGCGGGGGACCGUAAGGCCUCGCGCGAUUGGAGCGGCCGAUAUCAGAUUAGGUAGUUGGUGAGGUAAAGGCUCACCAAGGCAACGAUCUGUAGCCGGUCUGAGAGGACGACCAGCCACACUGGAACUGAGACACGGUCCAGACUCCUACGGGAGGCAGCAGUGGGGAAUUUUGGACAAUGGACGCAAGUCUGAUCCAGCCAUUCCGCGUGCAGGAUGAAGGCCCUCGGGUUGUAAACUGCUUUUGUACGGAACGAAAAGGUCUCUCCUAAUACGAGGGGCUCAUGACGGUACCGUAAGAAUAAGCACCGGCUAACUACGUGCCAGCCGCCGCCGUAA
RNAcentral lists this ribosomal RNA (496 nucleotides) under uncultured bacterium. Its description in RNAcentral is "partial 16S ribosomal RNA". It matches the Rfam family "Bacterial small subunit ribosomal RNA", at positions 30 to 523 of the family's 1533-position model. The record is from RNAcentral.